CCAACAGAGUAGUUUUAUUGCUUAUUUGGG
RNAcentral lists this non-coding RNA (30 nucleotides) under Mus musculus (house mouse). The record is from RNAcentral. Lineage: Eukaryota; Metazoa; Chordata; Mammalia; Rodentia; Muridae.